CAUGUACCUACAGGCAUUGCAGGUGUGGCUAUUGUAUCAUAUCCAUAUUACUAAGUGAAAGAAAGGAGAGGGGUAAAGUCUACACUCAGUUUCUGACCUGUGAACAUCUGAAUGAUUAAUAGCCUGAAAAA
This is a small nucleolar RNA of Apodemus sylvaticus (European woodmouse), 131 nucleotides long. RefSeq annotates it as small nucleolar RNA SNORA17. Lineage: Eukaryota; Metazoa; Chordata; Mammalia; Rodentia; Muridae. The transcript has a single exon. The record is from RefSeq and is a predicted model, not a curated record.